GGUGGCGACGGAAGCCAGCCGAGAUUAAACGUAAAGCCAAAAGCACAUCAUAUGGCCUCUGCCUCAAUUCUGCCUUUUAUCUGCUGCCUCUAUCUCUCCUCUCUUUCUCUCUCUUUCUCUCUCGCCUCCAUUUCUCUCUCUCUCUGUUUCUCUCUCUCUUACUUUACCACUCUCUCUCCUGUUCUCUUUCUCUCUCUCUCUCUUACUCACUCACUCACCCACUUGUGCCCUCCCUCUCUCCAUUCUGUCUUUGGGUCCCUCCUUCUUCCCCUCUCUGUUUCAAUCUCUCCAGUAGGGCAAGAGAGAGAGAGAGUGAAAGAGAGAGAGAAUAAUGAGUGGAAUAAUGUCAGACAACAGGGGAAAUUCCGAACUUUUUUUUUUCUUCCCUGGAAAACUCGGAAGAGAGAGAAAGGAUCACCGGCGAGGGCGGCUACAUGCAGUGGACUGCGGCACCCGGGCAGUCGCUGCUCCUGGCAGCAGAGUAGAUGGUGA
This 492-nucleotide long non-coding RNA is filed under the name Astyanax mexicanus (Mexican tetra). RNAcentral describes it as "lncRNA (ENSAMXG00005023777.1)". The record is from RNAcentral. Lineage: Eukaryota; Metazoa; Chordata; Actinopteri; Characiformes; Acestrorhamphidae.